RNAcentral lists this transfer RNA (68 nucleotides) under Hymenoptera sp. 4 GYN-2021. Its description in RNAcentral is "tRNA-Arg". Lineage: Eukaryota; Metazoa; Arthropoda; Insecta; Hymenoptera. The record is from RNAcentral.
AAAUUUGAAACAAAGUAUUGUAAUCAGUUUCGACCUGAUAUUUAAGUUAAAUCUUUAACUCUAAUUUA